This is a small nuclear RNA of Cercocebus atys (sooty mangabey), 66 nucleotides long. Its record names the gene U7. It matches the Rfam family "U7 small nuclear RNA". Rfam says of the family: Animal histone pre-mRNAs are spliced by a different mechanism than nuclear pre-mRNAs and self-splicing introns. This processing involves the U7 snRNP, which contains only one RNA species: U7. NCBI's taxonomy places the organism in Eukaryota, Metazoa, Chordata, Mammalia, Primates, Cercopithecidae. The record is from Ensembl.
UAGUAUUACAGCUCUUUUAGAAUUUGUCUAGCAGAUUUUGUUUUUUACCAUGAAAGAAAUGUCAUU